UACGUAGGGAGCAAGUGUUAUCCGGAUUUACUGGGUGUAAAGGGAGCGUAGGCGGCAUACCAAGCCUGAUGUGAAAACCCGGGGCCCAACCCCGGGAGUGCAUUGGGAACUGGCAAGCUAGAGUGUCGGAGAGGCAGGCGGAAUUCCUAGUGUAGCGGUGAAAUGCGUAGAUAUUAGGAGGAACACCAGUGGCGAAGGCGGCCUGCUGGACGAUGACUGACGCUGAGGCUCGAAAGCGUGGGGAGCAAACAGG
RNAcentral lists this ribosomal RNA (253 nucleotides) under uncultured bacterium. RNAcentral describes it as "partial 16S ribosomal RNA". It matches the Rfam family "Bacterial small subunit ribosomal RNA", at positions 524 to 776 of the family's 1533-position model. The record is from RNAcentral.